UGGGUUUAUAACUCAGUGGAUUAGAGUACAUGUUUCCGACGCAUGAUGUCGAGGGUUCAAUUCCCUCUAAACCCAUC
RNAcentral lists this transfer RNA (77 nucleotides) under Pedinophyceae sp. YPF-701. Its description in RNAcentral is "tRNA-Arg". It matches the Rfam family "tRNA". From Rfam's summary of the family: Transfer RNA (tRNA) molecules are approximately 80 nucleotides in length. Their secondary structure includes four short double-helical elements and three loops (D, anti-codon, and T loops). Lineage: Eukaryota; Viridiplantae; Chlorophyta; Pedinophyceae. The record is from RNAcentral.